CCGAAAGGACUGCUAAUACCGAAUGUUGUAUCUCCUCCGCAUAGNGAAAAAAAAGUAUUAAAGAUGGCCUCUACUUGUAAGCUAUCGCUUUGCGAUGGGUCUGCGUCUGAUUAGCUAGUUGGUGGGGCAACGGCCUACCAAGGCGACGAUCAGUAGCCGGUCUGAGAGGAUGAACGGCCACACUGGAACUGAGACACGGUCCAGACUCCUACGGGAGGCAGCAGUGGGGAAUCUUCCGCAAUGGGCGAAAGCCUGACGGAGCAACGCCGCGUGAGUGAAGAAGGUCUUCGGAUCGUAAAGCUCUGUUGUCGGGGACGAAUGUUGAGACCUAGAACAUAGGUUUCAAAUGACGGUACCUGACGAGGAAGCCACGGCUAACUACGUG
RNAcentral lists this ribosomal RNA (385 nucleotides) under uncultured bacterium. RNAcentral describes it as "bacterial SSU rRNA". It matches the Rfam family "Bacterial small subunit ribosomal RNA", at positions 151 to 507 of the family's 1533-position model. The record is from RNAcentral.